AUGCAUUCACUUAUUGCAAGCGAAUCAUCCUAUAUUAUUCUCAUUGCACUGUACAUAGUCUGCUCGCACGAAAUCUAUUUUGUUUCAUGCAAGAAGUCAAGAACUAUCAUCCAACUUGAACUUUUGGGGAUCACUAUUCACACCUUACAAUUGCUUUGCAGGAUAACCUUCACCCUGACUGUGCAGCACUGUAGUAUGGCUACGGUGAUUGGCGUGUGCCUCAGGCUUAAGUUGAUGCAAAACCCGCGAGACUACACCACUGGUCGUCGACCUGCCCCACAGCAGGCAGACCCUCAACAUCAUUGUCAUCAUGGCCGGGACACCAGGUGUCGGUGUCAAAACCGGCGGAUCUCGGACACCGGAGGGGGCUAG
Molecule: ribosomal RNA, 372 nt
Filed under: Triticum aestivum (bread wheat)
Lineage: Eukaryota; Viridiplantae; Streptophyta; Magnoliopsida; Poales; Poaceae
Description: partial small subunit ribosomal RNA
Source: RNAcentral